UCCUGAUGCAGCGACGCCGCGUGAAGGAAGAAGUAUCUCGGUAUAGUAAACUUCUAUCAGCAGGGAAGAUAGUGACGGUACCUGACUAAGAAGCCCCGGCUAACUACGUCGCC
This 113-nucleotide ribosomal RNA is filed under the name uncultured bacterium. RNAcentral's name for it is "partial 16S ribosomal RNA". It matches the Rfam family "Bacterial small subunit ribosomal RNA", at positions 381 to 509 of the family's 1533-position model. The record is from RNAcentral.